This 431-nucleotide ribosomal RNA is filed under the name uncultured Elusimicrobium sp. RNAcentral's name for it is "bacterial SSU rRNA". It matches the Rfam family "Bacterial small subunit ribosomal RNA", at positions 958 to 1385 of the family's 1533-position model. Lineage: Bacteria; Pseudomonadati; Elusimicrobiota; Elusimicrobia; Elusimicrobiales; Elusimicrobiaceae. The record is from RNAcentral.
AACGCGAAGAACCUUACCCGGGCUUGAACUACAGAUGGUAGGUCCCUAGAAACAGGGGCCGACCCGCAAGGGAGUCUGCAGAGGUGCUGCAUGGUUGUCGUCAGCUCGUGUCGUGAGAUGUUGGGUUAAGUCCCGCAACGAGCGCAACCCCUAUCCAAUGUUGCUAAUCCCGCAAGGGAUGCACUCUUUGGAAACUGCCUUCGAUAAGAAGGAGGAAGGUGGGGACGACGUCAAAUCCUCAUGGCCCUUAUGUCCGGGGCUACACACGUGUUACAAUGGCCGGUACAGAGGGAAGCAAUACCGCAAGGUGGAGCCAAACUCAAAAAGCCGGCCCCAGUUCAGAUUGUGGGCUGCAACUCGCCCACAUGAAGGCGGAAUCGCUAGUAAUCGCAGAUCAGCAGGCUGCGGUGAAUACGUUCCCGGGCCUUGUA